AACGAACGCUGGCGGCGUGUUUAAGACAUGCAAGUCGCACGGGAUCAUUUUGGUAGCAAUACUCGAAUGGUUUAGUGGCGCACGGGUGAGUAACAUGUGAAUGACAUGCCCUAUAGUGGGGAAUAGCCCAGGGAAACUUGGAUUAAUACCCCAUGGUCUCGCAAGAGUAAAGGUGGCCGCAAGGCUGUCGCUAUAGGAUUGGUUCGCACCCUAUCAGCUUGUCGGUGAGGUAACGGCUCACCAAGGCUACGACGGGUACCUGGUCUGAGAGGACGAUCAGGCACACUGGAACUGAGACACGGUCCAGACACCUACGGGUGGCAGCAGUCGAGAAUAAUUCACAAUGGGGGCAACCCUGAUGGUGCAACGCCGCGUGGAGGAUGAAGGUCUUCGGAUUGUAAACUCCUGUCAUCUGGGAGUAAGACCUGGCCGUGAAUAGCGGACAGGGUUGAUAGUACCAGAAGAGGAAGGGACGGCUAACUUCGUGCCAGCAGCCGCGGUAA
This 503-nucleotide ribosomal RNA is filed under the name uncultured bacterium. RNAcentral describes it as "partial 16S ribosomal RNA". It matches the Rfam family "Bacterial small subunit ribosomal RNA", at positions 29 to 523 of the family's 1533-position model. The record is from RNAcentral.